CAGUGCUGAGACUUGAACCCAGUACCUCACAUAUGCAAGACAUGUGCUCUACCACUGAGCCACAACCCAGCCCCAGAUACGAAUGAUUUUAAAGAUGCCAUUCAAGGUACAGUUUUCCUCCCAAGAUGCCCAGACCCCCACAGACUCCCACGCAGUUUCAGAACAUAGGUGUGUUAGUUUGGAGGGUUGGGGGUUUUGUGGGGUUUGUGCCUAAUAUCAGCAAGCCUCAUGGUCCCUCAGCGGUCCCUGUCUGCAUGGCUGCCUGCAUGGGCUCUUUCUAGGUGUGACAGCUGCUGAGGCCAUGGGAGGAGCCCGUGGGUCCUAGGGGCCAUGUGGGUGCCUUGCAAUCAGCACUCACCUGCUCCAGCCAGAGCCUCAACUCCACAGAGCAUGGAAACCCCGGGACCAACCCCGGCCCAUCCAUCUAGACACAGGGGAACUCUCCUGGAAGACCAUGGGACCUGCAGGUGAUGUGGCUAGGGAACUUUCAACAGCACAGUCUUGCGGUGGACAUGUCCUGGAGCCCUUGCCAGGUUCUCGGUCUUCAGAGCCCAGGCCUCAGCCUCUCCUGGGUCAGUCUGGGCCUUAUCCUUUAUCUCCGAGGUGCAAGCCAGCACCUGGAGGCCACAGCUGCUGCUGGUCCACUUUUCUGCAGCAAAAGGCACUCUGGCACCAGGUGGGAGUCUGGGGCAGGAGGAUUGCAAGUUUGAGGCCAAUCUGGGCAUCUCAGCAAGACCCUGUCUCAAAAAAUAAAAGGGCUGGGGAUGGGGCUUGGUUGUUAAGUGCGUCUGGGUUUAAGCCCUAGCACCAAGAAAAAGAAAAAGGCCUCUGCACCAGGUGUCCAGCGGUGAGGCAGAGCAGAGCUCAGUCUUGCUCCAAGGCAGAGUCUGAGGACUGCUUGAGGCCUGAAUGGACCCCGGCAGGAUGAUGUUUUCUGGCCACCAGCCGAUCCUGAGGGCUUGCUUCAGGUGGGGUUGUGGCCUCUUGACCACCACGUUGUGCGACCUCUCCAGCCCUUUCCAGAGCCGGCCGCACCGGGAUUACCUGAGGCCCAAGUAGAGGCAGCAGUCUCAAGUGACCAAGGGCGAUAUGCCUCCGCCCAGGUGUGGGCAGCAGGUGGAGACACCUCCAGCAGCCCGGACACAGCCACAGUCUCCUCAGCGCUCUGCGGUGUUGUGGAAGAGGGUCCUCCCGGCCCUCAUGCACCUGUCGGACUCCAUCUGCAGCACGAGCCUCCCAGCGCCCGGGUUCUCCUCCCCGCUGGGUUGAACAAUGAGAUUUUUUUUCAUCAUCAUUUCAAAUGUUUUUCACAAGCUUGAUUUAAAAAGGGAAAAUUCCCCACCAUAUUUUCGGUCUGAUUAUCAGAUGAUGAUGGACACUAGAUUGAUAAGAGUCACUCGAGGAGACCCGAGCUCUUGUGUAUAACAGCUACUCCAAUUACCAGGCACGGCGGAACUACUAUUGAUCCCCGCUCACACUGGGCGAUAACUGAGCAUUUUCCACUUCUUUAAAGUGCUGUUAGCCAGAAACACCCAUCAGUGGAAAGCAGUAGAUUUUCCUUUAAACACAGCUCAAUACAAUAAACAGCACACGCUCAAAGUUCAGAGUUCUCCAAUCUCAGUCAAACAAGUAACUGCCCGGCACCAACACACAGACCUUCCAGCUGCUAAAUGGUUCAUUAUGGAACAGGAGAGAGGAGGUCAUCAGCUCUGUGACCUUAGCCGCCCCACAGCCGCACGAAGGAAAGUGUCCUUCGCUCCAUUUUCUUCCAGGGGUUUAAACAGGGCG
RNAcentral lists this transfer RNA (1788 nucleotides) under Marmota monax (woodchuck). The record is from RNAcentral. Lineage: Eukaryota; Metazoa; Chordata; Mammalia; Rodentia; Sciuridae.